This 1151-nucleotide ribosomal RNA is filed under the name Escherichia coli. Its description in RNAcentral is "partial 23S ribosomal RNA". It matches the Rfam family "Bacterial large subunit ribosomal RNA", at positions 1 to 1191 of the family's 2925-position model. The record is from RNAcentral. Lineage: Bacteria; Pseudomonadati; Pseudomonadota; Gammaproteobacteria; Enterobacterales; Enterobacteriaceae.
GGUUAAGCGACUAAGCGUACACGGUGGAUGCCCUGGCAGUCAGAGGCGAUGAAGGACGUGCUAAUCUGCGAUAAGCGUCGGUAAGGUGAUAUGAACCGUUAUAACCGGCGAUUUCCGAAUGGGGAAACCCAGUGUGAUUCGUCACACUAUCAUUAACUGAAUCCAUAGGUUAAUGAGGCGAACCGGGGGAACUGAAACAUCUAAGUACCCCGAGGAAAAGAAAUCAACCGAGAUUCCCCCAGUAGCGGCGAGCGAACGGGGAGCAGCCCAGAGCCUGAAUCAGUGUGUGUGUUAGUGGAAGCGUCUGGAAAGGCGCGCGAUACAGGGUGACAGCCCCGUACACAAAAAUGCACAUGCUGUGAGCUCGAUGAGUAGGGCGGGACACGUGGUAUCCUGUCUGAAUAUGGGGGGACCAUCCUCCAAGGCUAAAUACUCCUGACUGACCGAUAGUGAACCAGUACCGUGAGGGAAAGGCGAAAAGAACCCCGGCGAGGGGAGUGAAAAAGAACCUGAAACCGUGUACGUACAAGCAGUGGGAGCACAGAGCAAUCUGUGUGACUGCGUACCUUUUGUAUAAUGGGUCAGCGACUUAUAUUCUGUAGCAAGGUUAACCGAAUAGGGGAGCCGAAGGGAAACCGAGUCUUAACUGGGCGUUAAGUUGCAGGGUAUAGACCCGAAACCCGGUGAUCUAGCCAUGGGCAGGUUGAAGGUUGGGUAACACUAACUGGAGGACCGAACCGACUAAUGUUGAAAAAUUAGCGGAUGACUUGUGGCUGGGGGUGAAAGGCCAAUCAAACCGGGAGAUAGCUGGUUCUCCCCGAAAGCUAUUUAGGUAGCGCCUCGUGAAUUCAUCUCCGGGGGUAGAGCACUGUUUCGGCAAGGGGGUCAUCCCGACUUACCAACCCGAUGCAAACUGCGAAUACCGGAGAAUGUUAUCACGGGAGACACACGGCGGGUGCUAACGUCCGUCGUGAAGAGGGAAACAACCCAGACCGCCAGCUAAGGUCCCAAAGUCAUGGUUAAGUGGGAAACGAUGUGGGAAGGCCCAGACAGCCAGGAUGUUGGCUUAGAAGCAGCCAUCAUUUAAAGAAAGCGUAAUAGCUCACUGGUCGAGUCGGCCUGCGCGGAAGAUGUAACGGGGCUAAACCAUG